AGUAUCUGGCCAGCAAGCUGUCAGUAGCCACAGCUUUCACACGCUCAUCAUUUGUACAAAUACAGAAGUAUCUUUUAUGAGUGACCAGGAGCUGAUCUACACUGCUAUGUCCAUAAAUAGGGCUCUUGGCAAAAGACCUCACCUCUAGCCUCACACGCCUGUUCACAACAGUCAUCGUUGGGAGAACAGAAUUACGAUCUACGUGAAGGAGUGUGAGCUAGAGAGGCAGUUGUCACCUGGAUGGGUGAAAAAGAAGUGGGAGAACUAUAAGCAAAAAUACACGGUGUGGAGUUGAAAGCUCCCCCCACCGGAGUCAGCACAGAGGGAGGGGAGGGCACAGCCGCAUACUGGAAGUGGUAUGUGGUGAUGGAAUAGGUGCGGCAGGAGCUGCAACUCCAUCACCCCACCUGUCAUCUUCUCCUCUCCAUCCCAGAAGGGUCCAGAUGUGGAGGAGGAAGAAGUAGGUGACUGCCAGAGGGGCACGCUUUAUUGCCAUUUUAGAGGCCAUUAUUAAGAAGUCGUUUACGUAUUUUGUAUGUAUUUUAU
Long non-coding RNA from Salvelinus sp. IW2-2015, 546 nucleotides. RefSeq lists it as uncharacterized. NCBI's taxonomy places the organism in Eukaryota, Metazoa, Chordata, Actinopteri, Salmoniformes, Salmonidae. The record is from RefSeq and is a predicted model, not a curated record.